RNAcentral lists this ribosomal RNA (214 nucleotides) under uncultured bacterium. RNAcentral's name for it is "partial 16S ribosomal RNA". It matches the Rfam family "Bacterial small subunit ribosomal RNA", at positions 589 to 793 of the family's 1533-position model. The record is from RNAcentral.
CAGAUGUGAAAGACCCGGGGCGUCAACCUACCGGAAUUGCAUUUGUAAACUAGGCAAACUAGAGUACUGUAGAGGGGGGUAGGAAUUUCAGGUGUAACGGUGAAAAUGCGUAGAGAUCUGAAGGAAUACCGGUGGCGAAGGCGGCCCCCUCGGACAGAUACUGACACUCAGAUGCGAAAGCGUGGGGAGCAAACAGGAUUAGAUACCCUGGUAG